AUUUAUAUAGUUUAAAAAAAACAUUUCAUUUUCAAUGAAAAGAUAAAAACUUUUUUAUAAAUU
Molecule: transfer RNA, 63 nt
Filed under: Perissonemia borneenis
Lineage: Eukaryota; Metazoa; Arthropoda; Insecta; Hemiptera; Tingidae
Description: tRNA-Glu
Source: RNAcentral